Molecule: RNA transcript, 951 nt
Organism: Hippopotamus amphibius kiboko
Lineage: Eukaryota; Metazoa; Chordata; Mammalia; Artiodactyla; Hippopotamidae
Gene name: 60S ribosomal protein L21-like
Exons: 1
Source: RefSeq, a predicted model, not a curated record
GCAUUUCAAAAUAUCCACGUAGCUUGUGAAUAAUGCAUUUUCUGUUGUGAUUAAAAGAUUUAGGAUAUCAGUUAAGGAACUUUAGUUUAUCAGAUAAAAUAGGAAAUUAAAGGGCGGAAUUAGAAGGGAAAAUCUAUGUGAAAGAACAGUUUAGUGAUGUAGUACAUUAGAAGUGAAAACAGCUUUCGUCCGGAACCGCCAUCUUCCAGUAAUUCACCAAAAUGACCAACACAAAAGGGAAGAGGCGGGGCACCUGCUACAUGUUCUCUAGGCCUUUUAGAAAACAUGGAUUUGUUCCUUUGGCCACAUACAUGUGAAUCUACAAGAAAGGUGAUAUUGUAGAUAUCAAGGGAAUGGGCACUGUACAAAAAGGAAUGCCCCACAAAUGUUACCAUGGCAAAACUGGAAGAGUCUACAGUGUUACCCAGCAUGCUGUUGGCAUCAUUGUAAACAAACAAGUUAAGGGCAAGAUUCUUGCCAAGAGAAUUAAUGUGCGUACCGAGCAUAUUAAGCACUCUAAGAGCCGAGAUAGCGUCCUGAAACGGGUGAAGGAAAAUGAUCAGAAAAAGAAGGAAGCCAAAGAGAAGGGUACUUGGGUUCAGCUGAAGCGCCAGCCUGCUCCACCCAGAGAAGCACACUUUGUGAGAACCAAUGGAAAGGAGCCUGAGCUGCUGGAGCCCAUUCCCUACGAGUUCAUGGCAUGAUAGGUGUGAAGAAAAUAAAAGCCCUGGACUCUGCAAAUGUUUCUCUUUAUUGAGUAGAAGUGUGUGUCCCCUCCCCCAAAGAAGUAUUUAAAUCAUAUUUUAAUUGUGUCCAAAUUCAUUGGGUGAUGUCUUUUCAAAUUUGGCAAUUUUUCUUUCUGAAAGAUGUGAGGUAGUUUGUUGUGCAGUGUACUCCAUUGGUUACUAAACUGCCAGAUGUUAUUUAUAAAAUAUUUAUACUAGUUUGAAG